RNAcentral lists this ribosomal RNA (458 nucleotides) under uncultured bacterium. RNAcentral describes it as "partial 16S ribosomal RNA". It matches the Rfam family "Bacterial small subunit ribosomal RNA", at positions 28 to 507 of the family's 1533-position model. The record is from RNAcentral.
GACGAACGCUGGCGGCAUGCCUAACACAUGCAAGUCGAACGAGACCUUCGGGUCUAGUGGCGCACGGGUGCGUAACGCGUGGGAACCUGCCCUUAGGUUCGGAAUAACUCCCCGAAAGGGGUGCUAAUACCGGAUAAUGUCUUCGGACCAAAGAUUUAUCGCCUUUGGAUGGGCCCGCGUUGGAUUAGCUAGUUGGUAGGGUAAAAGCCUACCAAGGCGACGAUCCGUAGCUGGUCUGAGAGGAGGAUCCGCCACACUGGGACUGAGACACGGCCCAGACGCGGACGGAGGGCAGCAGGAGGGAAUCUUCAGCAAGGGGCGAAAGCCGGACGGAGAAACGCCGCGGGAGGGAGGAAGGUCUGCGGAUCGUAAAACUCUGUGAUGAGGGAAGAACAAAUGGGUAAGGAACUAUGCACGUCUUGACGGUACCGAAUCAGAAAGCCACGGCAAACUACGUG